Molecule: ribosomal RNA, 789 nt
Filed under: uncultured bacterium
Lineage: Bacteria
Description: bacterial SSU rRNA
Rfam family: Bacterial small subunit ribosomal RNA
Source: RNAcentral
AGAGUUUGAUCAUGGCUCAGGACGAACGCUGGCGGCGUGCUUAACACAUGCAAGUCGAACGGAAAGGCCCCUUCGGGGGUACUCGAGUGGCGAACGGGUGAGUAACACGUGGGUGAUCUGCCCUGCACUUUGGGAUAAGCCUGGGAAACUGGGUCUAAUACCGAAUAGGACCGCAUGCUUCAUGGUGUGUGGUGGAAAGCUUUUGCGGUGUGGGAUGGGCCCGCGGCCUAUCAGCUUGUUGGUGGGGUAAUGGCCUACCAAGGCGACGACGGGUAGCCGGCCUGAGAGGGUGUCCGGCCACACUGGGACUGAGAUACGGCCCAGACUCCUACGGGAGGCAGCAGUGGGGAAUAUUGCACAAUGGGCGCAAGCCUGAUGCAGCGACGCCGCGUGGGGGAUGACGGCCUUCGGGUUGUAAACCUCUUUCAGUAUCGGCGAAGCUCCAGGAUUUUUCUUGGGGUGACGGUAGGUACAGAAGAAGCACCGGCCAACUACGUGCCAGCAGCCGCGGUAAUACGUAGGGUGCGAGCGUUGUCCGGAAUUACUGGGCGUAAAGAGCUCGUAGGUGGUUUGUCACGUUGUCUGUGAAAACUCACAGCUUAACUGUGGGCGUGCGGGCGAUACGGGCAGACUGGAGUACUGUGGGGGAGACUGGAGUUCCUGGUGUAGCGGUGGAAUGCGCAGAUAUCAGGAGGAACACCGGUGGCGAAGGCGGGUCUCCGGGCAGUAACUGACGCUGAGGAGCGAAAGCGUGGGGAGCGAACAGGAUUAGAUACCCUGGUAGUCCAA